Molecule: RNA transcript, 3829 nt
Organism: Galleria mellonella (greater wax moth)
Lineage: Eukaryota; Metazoa; Arthropoda; Insecta; Lepidoptera; Pyralidae
Exons: 8
Source: RefSeq, a predicted model, not a curated record
UAUAGUUGUGAGUCAGUUAGCAACAUGCUUAUUUGUUAUGUAAUUGUAAACCGCAGCUUUGCGCAGUAGGCUGGACAUAGUGCGCAAGAAAUAUAUAACAAAUAAUAAUAUAGUGUUUUUGGGCUCAUUUAUGAGCCGAGCCAGAGUUAUUGUACUAGACAGUGGCAUGCUGUGGUGUCGCCGGCAACAUCGAAUUCCGUGGGCGAAGGCGGUGCCACUGUACACACUGCUCGCGUUUGUUGUGCCAACCGACGCCGGCGCAGGGGCUUGUGAAAUUUUAGACUUGCUUUACGCUAACAAGACACAACAGGCUGAGUGGUGCCCGGCGCUCCGAGCGGUGUCCGUGCAGGGGCGGCAGCGCGGCGUGUCGGUGUGGUGGGACGGGCGCGCGCCGAGCCGCGCCGCCGCCGCGCUGCUGCUGGCCGCGCUGCGCCACGGCCUGCGCUACCGCGGCCUGCGCCUGCGCCGCGCGCGCUCCUCCUUCUGCGAUUUCGUUCGCCAACUACCCUAUAACUGUGAAGACGACAAUGGCGACUACGACGAUGUUGCAGUGAUACCAUCAGCGGUGCAAUGCGAUGCGAUAAAUAUUUGCGAGGAGGCGGACGGCGUGUCGCGGCUGCGGCCGGUGGGCGCGGGUGCAGCGCCGGCCACACUGCACCUCCACGUCUAUCUCGUGGAGCACGCUCGCAAACAACCGCUUUGCAUGGACGCACUCCACUGGACUUUCUUUGAAAAUUCGACUGCGAUAGAACUCUGUUCGUUUCAAAUGAUAACCAAUCAUACUGCUCUACAGAAACAUGCUGUUGUUUUCACAUCAGAGGAAUUAGUUACCCGAGCUCAAGAGUUAGCCGACAUCAUACCACUUUUAACGAUAAAAUCUUUACAAACAGAAUCGCGUCACUUUUUAUUUAAUUUAUUACGUAGUAAUAUGUCAUUUCUCUUUUUGGACUAUGAUAUAUGGGCUGACGCACAAAAUAUUCAGAUCGUUGAAUCACCUCCCAUAUCAUUGUUUGAACCCAUCUGCACCCUGCGCUACACAAACGCCAAGCUACUUAAACAAUUUGCACCGCAACUAUAUGAGGUCGCUCUUCACUUUGCACCCACCGCCAACGAAUUGCGAAUAGUUCUCGAACUUGAAGCUAAUCAUACUGAUUCUAAUAUUACAGAGGCUGCCUGCAACUGGGCCAUUAAAAAUAAAGUUAAAUUUGAUUCGUGGCUUGAGACGGCGCGAAAGUUUAGACCCCAGUAUUGGAUAGCUGUGUUUAUGUGCAAAGAUUAUGAAGACAUUAAACAAUAUAAAAGAGUUGCACAACGAGUUAUUAAUGUAAUAACUAGCAAACAUACACGAAUAAAGUUAAAACUCGAGGUCAUAGAAGAUAUCGAUUGCACAUCUGAACACGAUCUAAAAGUAAAAUUAUUGAAAUUCCGAGAGCAAUCUAAAUGGACAGAAAUGAUAGGCGCAUUAGCAACGGGUGCUGGAGUUAAAGGAGCAGCAUACGUUGCUACGGAGAUAGAUACUGCUCUAGUAUUAUAUGAUACGCCGACACCAGACAUAAAUCCGGGAAAUAGUACUCGAAUCGUCGGCGGACUUCUAACGGACUUAGUUUUCGCCCUGCAACAAAUCCUCCUUAAUUGUAAUUGGAGGCGUCUUGCGGUGCUCUCCGAUGGCACACACCUUGCUUCCGUUUAUAUAGAUACACUCCUUGAAAACAGCACAUUGGCCAUACGUAACAUUACUCUAAAAAUGAACACUUCUCUUUCUGAAAUCCGAGAUCACUUGCAAAUAUUACAAAAAGAUAAAGCACGUAUCUUUUUUGUGAACACAGACGCCAAGACUGCAACAUUGAUUUUAUGUGAGGCACUCCAUCUUGAUAUGACAAGAGAUACUGGACAUAUUUGGAUAUUACGCGAGUGGCAUGCGAAGAAUUACACGUGUGUCGAUUCUUCUAAGCAAUACAAAGUAAUGAAACAUUUUACCAUAUCAUAUUGGUGGCGAGGAGGCACAAUUAAAACUAACUACUUCAACGGCAAUGAUAAUGAGAUGCUACAAGCACUGAAUGAAUUGUGGGAAGAGGGGAGCGUUUGGCCACGGCUAGCUGCUCCUUUAGCUGAUGGACUAAUAUUGCUGAUAAACAGUUUCUAUACUUUUGUUGAACGGUGCAAUCGAAAUCUUCAAGAUCUACAUGGUGAUGGCACUACUGGAUUAUUAUGGACGAAUCUGAACAAGCAAGUUUAUGGAAUUGCACAAGAACUACAUCCAAAGAAAUACACAUAUGUUAACCCGGUCAUUUUUGUUGAUGAGUGGCAUGGCGCAGUGCGUCGUCCUAUAGUUGCGUGGCAAAUUGGCAAAGAUCGCAACAAUAGACGUAACGCCUGUUUUAUAUGUUCCGAAGAAACACUUUCGGAUGGAAGCAAAUAUUGUCUAACUACAAGUUCUAAUAAAGAUGAAUUUUCACCACACUGUCAUGAUAAUGCAUGGAUCAUAGCUACGGUUACAUUUACAUUCGGAGUGUUAGCAUUAUAUAAGACACAAAGAUUAAGAGCUACAUUAUUUAAACAAAGUAUUUCACGUCCACUAGGAGCUAGAGAAAAUGUAUCCGCGCUUGCGGAAUAUCUCGUCGAUCGCACAGCGUUAGAAUUUCACCAAGACCUUGGAUAUGGACGAUUUGGAAGAGUGCAGUUUGCAAUUCUUCGUACUCCAAAUCGAUCGACUGUUGUUGUCGCUGUUAAGUCUUUACACGAGAACUCAGUACCGGCUGAAGAGACCGAAUUUUUACGCGAAGCGUGUAUCCUUGCCUCCCUCCGACAUAAAAACGUGGUUCGGCUAAUUGGUGUAUGUGCCAUGGAUGGGCCCCCAUUAGUGCUCAUGGAACAUGCAUUUUUUGGCGAUCUACUGAGAUACUUACGUGAGCGUCGCCAUCUCAUCGAACAUGUGCACGAUGAAGUUCCCGAAGAGGCGACACAUGUUUCCGCUCGCGCCCUCACGCGACUGGCCCGAGAAGCCUCAUCGGCGCUUGCUUACUUAACGCAACGACGACUGGUGCACCGCGAUGUGCGCGCCUCGAAUUGUCUAAUAGAUGCUCGCCGAUCACUGAAACUUGCAGACUUCGGGAUGGCUCGGGAGACAACGAGUAAAGAUGGAGUUGCUGAAUAUACCUGUCGACGUCGGGGCUUUUUCCCCGUACUUUGGAUGGCACCAGAAAGUCUCGAUCGCGGCGUUUUUUCCGCUGCGACUGACAUAUGGGCUCUUGGUGUAUUGAUACUCGAAUUGGUGACACUGGGCAAGCGACCAUAUGGCGCUUGGCCACUUCAGCGGGUACUGCACUACGUCAUAGCAGGAGGGAGACCGCCGCUGCCCCUUGACUCUUCUCUAAAAACACGCGGAUUGCUGCUGUCGUGUUGGCGCCGCGUAACAGACCAUCGACCGACAGCAGCUGAAAUAACAGCUUACCUCGAAGCGAACCCGCUCGCUUUGUCACCAGCAUUAGAAACGGCGACAUUAUCCCUAGAAGAUACAGUCAUUGACAGAUUUGACUUUAUAGAAAAGGAGUAGAAACAUGCGGCGAUGAGCGGCCGCAUGUCGUCCGGGCGGCUGCUCGUCGUCCUCGCCACCGCCGCCGUCUCCGCGGCCGUCGCCGCUCCCCACACCGACACCGACUACUGCCAUCAACUCGAUGUCAAACUUAACAAUGCUAUGGAUCUGAAUCUGCAGUCCUAUAUGCUCCACCCGAAUGGAAUAUCACUGCGUUACAUGAAAGAACUAUCGUCGGAUCCCGGCUCACCGUCCGCCUACUCGAUUCAAACGCAGAACCACGCCAUCAACUAGUCC